UACGGAGGGUGCAAGCGUUGUCCGGAUUUAUUGGGUUUAAAGGGUGCGUAGGCGGCCGAUUAAGUCAGCGGUGAAAGUUUUGGGCUCAACCCAGAAAUUGCCAUUGAUACUGGUCGGCUUGAGUAUUGCAGGGGUACAUGGAAUUGAUGGUGUAGCGGCGAAAUGCAUAGAUACCAGCAGGAACACCGGUAGCGAAGGCAUUGUACUGGGCAACCACUGACGCUGAGGCACGAAAGCGUGGGGAGCGAACAGG
RNAcentral lists this ribosomal RNA (253 nucleotides) under uncultured bacterium. RNAcentral's name for it is "partial 16S ribosomal RNA". It matches the Rfam family "Bacterial small subunit ribosomal RNA", at positions 524 to 776 of the family's 1533-position model. The record is from RNAcentral.